RNAcentral lists this unclassified non-coding RNA (257 nucleotides) under Hevea brasiliensis (rubber tree). The record is from RNAcentral. Lineage: Eukaryota; Viridiplantae; Streptophyta; Magnoliopsida; Malpighiales; Euphorbiaceae.
UAUUGAGAUGAGGCGCCAGGCGCUUGACGUAUUUGUAAAUCGAAUUGCUUCACAUCCUGAACUUAAGCAAAGUGAGGACUUGAGGAUCUUCCUUCAGGAGGAUGAAGAGACAAUGGAGAGAGCAAGGUUUCAAGAGACUGGUUUUUUCAAGAAGAAGCCUGCAGAUUUUAUGCAGAUAUUCAAGGAUGUACAAACAAAGGUUAGUGAUGUGGUUUUGGGGAAAGAAAAGCCUGUAGAAGAAUCUAAUCCCGAAUACG